AGUGAACGCUGGCGGUAGGCCUAACACAUGCAAGUCGAACGGCAGCACAGUAAGAGCUUGCUCUUACGGGUGGCGAGUGGCGGACGGGUGAGGAAUACAUCGGAAUCUACUUUUUCGUGGGGGAUAACGUAGGGAAACUUACGCUAAUACCGCAUACGACCUACGGGUGAAAGCAGGGGAUCUUCGGACCUUGCGCGAUUGAAUGAGCCGAUGUCGGAUUAGCUAGUUGGCGGGGUAAAGGCCCACCAAGGCGACGAUCCGUAGCUGGUCUGAGAGGAUGAGCAGCCAGACUGGAACUGAGAGACGGUCCAGACUCCUACGGGGGGCAGCAGUGGGGAAUAUUGGACAAUGGGCGCAAGCCUGAUCCAGCCAUACCGCGUGGGUGAAGAAGGCCUUCGGGUUGUAAAGCCCUUUUGUUGGGAAAGAAAAGCAGCAGGUUAAUACCCCGCUGUUCUGACGGUACCCAAAGAAUAAGCACCGGCUAACUUCGUG
Molecule: ribosomal RNA, 492 nt
Filed under: uncultured bacterium
Lineage: Bacteria
Description: partial 16S ribosomal RNA
Rfam family: Bacterial small subunit ribosomal RNA
Source: RNAcentral